This 87-nucleotide small nuclear RNA is filed under the name Myotis lucifugus (little brown bat). RNAcentral's name for it is "U4 spliceosomal RNA (ENSMLUG00000020743.2)". It matches the Rfam family "U4 spliceosomal RNA", at positions 1 to 87 of the family's 138-position model. From Rfam's summary of the family: U4 small nuclear RNA (U4 snRNA) is a component of the major U2-dependent spliceosome. The structure of U4 snRNA from yeast and human has been reported. U4 snRNA presents a k-turn RNA motif in the 5p-SL related to recognition of Snu13 protein. Lineage: Eukaryota; Metazoa; Chordata; Mammalia; Chiroptera; Vespertilionidae. The record is from RNAcentral.
AGCUCUGCACAGUGGCAGUAUUUUAGCCAAUGAGCUUUAUCCGAGGUGUAAUUAUUGCUAACUGAAAACUUUUCCCCAAAAUCAGUG